CAUGAACGCUGGCGGCGUGCCUAAUACAUGCAAGUCGAACGAGUUCUCGUUGAUGAUCGGUGCUUGCACCGAGAUUCAACAUGGAACGAGUGGCGGACGGGUGAGUAACACGUGGGUAACCUGCCCUUAAGUGGGGGAUAACAUUUGGAAACAGAUGCUAAUACCGCAUAGAUCCAAGAACCGCAUGGUUCUUGGCUGAAAGAUGGCGUAAGCUAUCGCUUUUGGAUGGACCCGCGGCGUAUUAGCUAGUUGGUGAGGUAAUGGCUCACCAAGGCGAUGAUACGUAGCCGAACUGAGAGGUUGAUCGGCCACAUUGGGACUGAGACACGGCCCAAACUCCUACGGGAGGCAGCAGUAGGGAAUCUUCCACAAUGGACGCAAGUCUGAUGGAGCAACGCCGCGUGAGUGAAGAAGGCUUUCGGGUCGUAAAACUCUGUUGUUGGAGAAGAAUGGUCGGCAGAGUAACUGUUGUCGGCGUGACGGUAUCCAACCAGAAAGCCACGGCUAACUACGUGCCAGCAGCCGCGGUAAUACGUAGGUGGCAAGCGUUAUCCGGAUUUAUUGGGCGUAAAGCGAGCGCAGGCGGUUUUUUAAGUCUGAUGUGAAAGCCCUCGGCUUAACCGAGGAAGCGCAUCGGAAACUGGGAAACUUGAGUGCAGAAGAGGACAGUGGAACUCCAUGUGUAGCGGUGAAAUGCGUAGAUAUAUGGAAGAACACCAGUGGCGAAGGCGGCUGUCUGGUCUGUAACUGACGCUGAGGCUCGAAAGCAUGGGUAGCGAACAGGAUUAGAUACCCUGGUAGUCCAUGCCGUAAACGAUGAAUGCUAGGUGUUGGAGGGUUUCCGCCCUUCAGUGCCGCAGCUAACGCAUUAAGCAUUCCGCCUGGGGAGUACGACCGCAAGGUUGAAACUCAAAGGAAUUGACGGGGGCCCGCACAAGCGGUGGAGCAUGUGGUUUAAUUCGAAGCAACGCGAAGAACCUUACCAGGUCUUGACAUCUUUUGAUCACCUGAGAGAUCAGGUUUCCCCUUCGGGGGCAAAAUGACAGGUGGUGCAUGGUUGUCGUCAGCUCGUGUCGUGAGAUGUUGGGUUAAGUCCCGCAACGAGCGCAACCCUUAUGACUAGUUGCCAGCAUUUAGUUGGGCACUCUAGUAAGACUGCCGGUGACAAACCGGAGGAAGGUGGGGAUGACGUCAAAUCAUCAUGCCCCUUAUGACCUGGGCUACACACGUGCUACAAUGGAUGGUACAACGAGUUGCGAGACCGCGAGGUCAAGCUAAUCUCUUAAAGCCAUUCUCAGUUCGGACUGUAGGCUGCAACUCGCCUACACGAAGUCGGAAUCGCUAGUAAUCGCGGAUCAGCACGCCGCGGUGAAUACGUUGCCCGGGCCUUGUACACACCGCCCGUCACAACCAUGAGAGUUUGUAACACCCGAAGCCGGUGGCGUAACCCUUUUAGGGAGCGAGCCGUCUAAGGUGGGACAAAUGAUUAGGGUGAAG
RNAcentral lists this ribosomal RNA (1497 nucleotides) under Lacticaseibacillus paracasei subsp. tolerans. Its description in RNAcentral is "16S ribosomal RNA". It matches the Rfam family "Bacterial small subunit ribosomal RNA". Lineage: Bacteria; Bacillati; Bacillota; Bacilli; Lactobacillales; Lactobacillaceae. The record is from RNAcentral.